Solanum tuberosum (potato) is the source of this 577-nucleotide long non-coding RNA. RefSeq lists it as uncharacterized. Lineage: Eukaryota; Viridiplantae; Streptophyta; Magnoliopsida; Solanales; Solanaceae. The transcript has 4 exons. The record is from RefSeq and is a predicted model, not a curated record.
CAUUGUAUUAGAUUCAGUGAAGGGUUUCCUAAAAUAUUGAGACAUUUGAUCUCAAAUCCAGAAAGAAGAAGAAGAAAAAAGAUGGCGGUAAUGGAGAGAUUGAAAAUGUUCGUAGUACAAGAGCCAGUAGUGGCUGCUUCUUGUCUAAUCUCUGGUUUUGAUUCGAGCUUCACUGCUAUGGAAAAACAAAUUCUUCUAAUAGUGGUUUUUGCAGUUGCUGUUCUCAACAGAAGCGUGACUUAGCUCACUCGGUUGAGUCAUGCCUUUAAUUUCCUUCCUGCAUUUGUUAGGCCAAUGCUUUAUUCCUUUGAAUCAUCAAAGCAAGUCCCUCCACCUGAUGUGGUUACUGGUGUAACUGGGAAGAACAAGGGUAACUUCCCGGUCAGGUUUUCGCAUUAAAAAGCCUAUUGUACUCUUAUUUACACUCCCUUUUUGUUCAUUCUGAUCCGGAAACGAAAAUAAGAUCUUCAUUUGUGUGUAACUAUUAAUGAUUUAGUAUUGGAGCUGUUUGAAUUCAGAAAUUGCCAUCAUUUGAUUAGCCAGUAAAUGCAAUGUAAGAGGCUUUUCAUCAUUUGAA